This 497-nucleotide ribosomal RNA is filed under the name uncultured bacterium. RNAcentral's name for it is "partial 16S ribosomal RNA". It matches the Rfam family "Bacterial small subunit ribosomal RNA", at positions 28 to 507 of the family's 1533-position model. The record is from RNAcentral.
GUUGAACGCUGGCGGCGUGCCUAAUACAUGCAAGUCGGGCGAACAGACGAGGAGCUUGCUCCUCUGACGUUAGCGGCGGACGGGUGAGUAACACGUGGAUAACCUACCUAUAAGACUGGGAUAACUUCGGGAAACCGGAGCUAAUACCGGAUAAUAUAUUGAACCGCAUGGUUCAAUAGUGAAAGACGGUUUUGCUGUCACUUAUAGAUGGAUCCGCGCCGCAUUAGCUAGUUGGUAAGGUAACGGCUUACCAAGGCGACGAUGCGUAGCCGACCUGAGAGGGUGAUCGGCCACACUGGAACUGAGACACGGUCCAGACUCCUACGGGAGGCAGCAGUAGGGAAUCUUCCGCAAUGGGCGAAAGCCUGACGGAGCAACGCCGCGUGAGUGAUGAAGGUCUUCGGAUCGUAAAACUCUGUUAUUAGGGAAGAACAAAUGUGUAAGUAACUAUGCACGUCUCGACGGUACCUAAUCAGAAAGCCACGGCUAACUACGUG